Molecule: ribosomal RNA, 253 nt
Filed under: uncultured bacterium
Lineage: Bacteria
Description: partial 16S ribosomal RNA
Rfam family: Bacterial small subunit ribosomal RNA
Source: RNAcentral
UACGUAGGGUGCGAGCGUUAAUCGGAAUUACUGGGCGUAAAGCGUGCGCAGGCGGUUCGCCGUGUCCUGUGUGAAAUCCCCGGGCUUAACCUGGGAACUGCGCUUGUUACUGGCAGACUUGAGUGUGGCAGAGGGGGGUGGAAUUCCAGGUGUAGCAGUGAAAUGCGUAGAGAUCUGGAGGAACACCGAUGGCGAAGGCAGCCCCCUGGGUUAACACUGACGCUCAUGCACGAAAGCGUGGGGAGCAAACAGG